Molecule: long non-coding RNA, 942 nt
Filed under: Salmo salar (Atlantic salmon)
Lineage: Eukaryota; Metazoa; Chordata; Actinopteri; Salmoniformes; Salmonidae
Description: lncRNA (ENSSSAG00000108593.1)
Source: RNAcentral
GCUGUAGGCUGUAGGCUGCAUCUCACUGUAGUAGACUGUAGGCUGUAGGCUGCAUCUCACUGUAGUAGGCCGUAGGCUGCAUCUCACUGUAGUAGACUGCAUCUCACUGUAGUAGACUGUAGGCUGCAUCUCACUGUAGUAGACUGUAGGCUGCAUCUCACUGUAGUAGACUGUAGGCUGCAUCUCACUGUAGUAGGCUGUAGGCUGCAUCUCACUGUAGUAGGCUGCAUCUCACUGUAGUAGGCUGUAGGCUGCAUCUCACUGUAGUAGGCCGUAGGCUGCAUCUCAUUGUAGUAGGCUGUAGGCUGCAUCUCACUGUAGUAGGCUGUAGGCUGCAUCUCACUGUAGUAGGCUGUAGGCUGCAUCUCACUGUAGUAGGCUGUAGACUGCAUCUCACUGUAGUAGGCUGCAUCUCACUGUUGUAGUAGGCUGUAGACUGUAUCUCACUGUAUUAAGCUGCAUACUACAGUUACAUACAUGUUAAAUACCACUACAGUUACAUACAUGAUGUUACAUACUACUACAGUUACAUACAUGAUGUUACAUACAUGAUGUGAUGUUACAUACUACUACAGUUACAUACAUGAUGUGAUGUUACAUACUACUGCAGUUACAUACAUGAUCUGAUGUUACAUUAUACUACAGUUACAUAGAUGUUACAUACAUGAUGUUACAUUCAUGAUGUUACAUUCUACUACAGUUACAUACAUGUUACAUUCUACUACAGUUACAUACAUGAUGUUACAUACAUGAUGUUACAUACUGCUACAUUUACAUACAUGUUAAAUACUGCUACAGUUACAUAGAUGUUACAUACAUGAUGUUACAUACUGCUACAUUUACAUACAUGUUAAAUACUGCUACAGUUACAUACAUAAUGUUACAUCUACUACAGUUACAUACAUGAUGUUACAUACUACCAAUACAUUUACAUAAUUGAUG